Molecule: long non-coding RNA, 746 nt
Organism: Bombyx mori (domestic silkworm)
Lineage: Eukaryota; Metazoa; Arthropoda; Insecta; Lepidoptera; Bombycidae
Exons: 2
Source: RefSeq, a predicted model, not a curated record
AUGUAGUACAUAUUACACGGUUAUCGGGUGUCAAAGUCAGCGGCGCCCUUUCAAACCAUACGCCGUAUAAUUUGGGAACAUUUAAAAAUUGUUUAACUCGUAUUGUAGACGGAUUGGUUACGGUGCGCAAUAUGUCCGACUCGGCUGUUAUUUUGUAUUUUUAAUUUUCAUUUGUCGCGUUGUUCAUUAAAAUCACAGGAUUGCGUGUUAUUGUGUAAGUUAAAGGUUAUAUAAAGACGCAAAUGAGUCGUCUAUUAUCAAAGGUGGCAAUCUGUGCAUUUGGACAAAAAAAUGUUAUUGAUAUGUCAAUACAGAUUGAUUUGAAUAUAAUCGUCUCCUUCAAAGAAUACGGUUCAAAACCUGCAUUAAAUAAAGGUUAAUACUUAACCUGUUAUUUAUCUAAGAUGUCGUUCCGAAGAGUUUUGUGACUGCCAAUGGAAUACAAAGUCAAUAAUUCGUUUUUCUGAUUUACCAAUAAUUGUCCAAAAGUCACAUUGCCGGCUUUGAUAAUAGUCGACUCAAAUAUCGUAUAGCCACAAGUGGAUCAUUUUGAGAUUCAUCAUUUUUCGGAACUAGAAGAAUCCCACGAGGUACUCACAAUUGGUCCACCUUCUGUCAUACCUACACUGCAUAAUAUGUUUUACGUACUAGAAUCAAAACUAAAGGAUUAUAUCUGACAGCUUCGUUUCGGUAUCCACGUUAUGUAAGUAACUAGUCUGGCCAUAAUAAAUACUGUUACAUAAAAA